Molecule: ribosomal RNA, 253 nt
Filed under: uncultured bacterium
Lineage: Bacteria
Description: partial 16S ribosomal RNA
Rfam family: Bacterial small subunit ribosomal RNA
Source: RNAcentral
UACGUAGGGGGCAAGCGUUGUCCGGAAUCAUUGGGCGUAAAGCGCGUGUAGGCGGCCCGAUAAGUCCGCUGUGAAAGUCCAGGGCUCAACCUCGGGCCUGCAGUCGAUACGGGCAAACUAGAGUACUGCAGGGGAGACUGGAAUUCCUGGUGUAGCGGUGAAAUGCGCAGAUAUCAGGAGGAACACCGGUGGCGAAGGCGGGUCUCUGGGCAGUAACUGACGCUGAGGAGCGAAAGCGUGGGGAGCGAACAGG